Molecule: ribosomal RNA, 572 nt
Filed under: uncultured bacterium
Lineage: Bacteria
Description: bacterial SSU rRNA
Rfam family: Bacterial small subunit ribosomal RNA
Source: RNAcentral
CGGGAGGCAGCAGUGAGGAAUAUUGGGCAAUGGAGGAAACUCUGACCCAGCCAUGCCGCGUGCAGGAAGACGGCCCUCUGGGUUGUAAACUGCUUUUAUAUGGGAAUAAACCCUUCCACGUGUGGAAGGCUGAAGGUACCAUAAGAAUAAGGAUCGGCUAACUCCGUGCCAGCAGCCGCGGUAAUACGGAGGAUCCAAGCGUUAUCCGGAUUUAUUGGGUUUAAAGGGUCCGUAGGCGGGUCUUUAAGUCAGUGGUGAAAGCCUGCAGCUUAACUGUAGAAUUGCCAUUGAUACUGAAGGCCUUGAGUGUAGUAGAAGUAGGCGGAAUAUGGCAUGUAGCGGUGAAAUGCAUAGAUAUGCCAUAGAACACCGAUUGCAAAGGCAGCUUACUAUGUUACAACUGACGCUGAGGGACGAAAGCGUGGGUAGCAAACAGGAUUAGAUACCCUGGUAGACCACGCCGUAAACGAUGAUUACUCGCUGUUAGCGAUAUACAGUUAGCGGCCAAGCGAAAGCAUUAAGUAAUCCACCUGGGGAGUACGCCGGCAACGGUGAAACUCAAAUGAAUUGAC